RNAcentral lists this ribosomal RNA (429 nucleotides) under Bacteroidota bacterium. RNAcentral describes it as "Bacteroidetes bacterium partial 16S ribosomal RNA". It matches the Rfam family "Bacterial small subunit ribosomal RNA", at positions 355 to 776 of the family's 1533-position model. The record is from RNAcentral. Lineage: Bacteria; Pseudomonadati; Bacteroidota.
UAGGGAAUCUUCCGCAAUGGACGCAAGUCUGACGGAGCAACGCCGCGUGAGUGAAGAAGGAUUUCGGUUCGUAAAACUCUGUUGUUAGAGAAGAACAGCGCAUAGAGUAACUGUUAUGCGUGUGACGGUAUCUAACCAGAAAGCCACGGCUAACUACGUGCCAGCAGCCGCGGUAAUACGUAGGUGGCAAGCGUUGUCCGGAUUUAUUGGGCGUAAAGCGAGCGCAGGCGGUCAAUUAAGUCUGAUGUGAAAGCCCCCGGCUCAACCGGGGAGGGUCAUUGGAAACUGGUUGACUUGAGUGCAGAAGAGGAGAGUGGAAUUCCAUGUGUAGCGGUGAAAUGCGUAGAUAUAUGGAGGAACACCAGUGGCGAAGGCGACUCUCUGGUCUGUAACUGACGCUGAGGCUCGAAAGCGUGGGUAGCAAAAAGG